RNAcentral lists this ribosomal RNA (473 nucleotides) under uncultured bacterium. RNAcentral's name for it is "SSU rRNA". It matches the Rfam family "Bacterial small subunit ribosomal RNA", at positions 26 to 518 of the family's 1533-position model. The record is from RNAcentral.
AGGACGAACGCUGGCGGCGUGCUUAACACAUGCAAGUCGAGCGGAAAGGCCCUUCGGGGUACUCGAGCGGCGAACGGGUGAGUAACACGUGAGCAAUCUGCCCUUAGCUUCGGGAUAGCUCCGGGAAACCGGAAUUAAUACCGAAUAUGACUUCGGCCGACAUCGGCCUUGGUGGAAAGUUUUUCGGCUAGGGAUGAACUCGCGGCCUAUCAGCUUGUUGGUGGGGUAAUGGCCUACCAAGGCGACGACGGGUAGCCGGCCUGAGAGGGCGACCGGCCACACUGGGACUGAGACACGGCCCAGACUCCUACGGGAGGCAGCAGUGGGAAUAUUGCGCAAUGGGCGAAAGCCUGACGCAGCGACGCCGCAUGGGGGAUGAAGGCCUUCGGGUUGUAAACCCCUUUCAGCAGGGACGAAGCGAAAGUGACGGUACCUGCAGAAGAAGCGCCGGCUAACUACGUGCCAGCAGCCGC